GGGCUUUGGUAGCACAUAUACUAAAAGUGGAAUGAUACAGAGAAGAUUAGCAUGGUUCCUGCUCAAGGAUGACAUGCACAUGUGUGAAGUGUUCCAUAUUUUA
Ursus americanus (American black bear) is the source of this 103-nucleotide small nuclear RNA. NCBI's taxonomy places the organism in Eukaryota, Metazoa, Chordata, Mammalia, Carnivora, Ursidae. The record is from Ensembl.